This 111-nucleotide ribosomal RNA is filed under the name Neogale vison (American mink). Lineage: Eukaryota; Metazoa; Chordata; Mammalia; Carnivora; Mustelidae. The record is from RNAcentral.
GUCUACGGCCAUACCACCCUGAACGCGCCCGAUCUCGUCUGAUCUCGGAAGCUAAGCAGGGUCGGGCCUGGUUAGUACUUGGAUGGGAGAAAGCAAUGGCUUUCAUAAACU